This 497-nucleotide ribosomal RNA is filed under the name uncultured bacterium. Its description in RNAcentral is "partial 16S ribosomal RNA". It matches the Rfam family "Bacterial small subunit ribosomal RNA", at positions 28 to 507 of the family's 1533-position model. The record is from RNAcentral.
GAUGAACGCUGGCGGCGUGCCUAAUACAUGCAAGUCGAGCGAACGGACGAGAAGCUUGCUUUUCUGAUGUUAGCGGCGGACGGGUGAGUAACACGUGGAUAACCUACCUAUAAGACUGGGAUAACUUCGGGAAACCGGAGCUAAUACCGGAUAAUAUUUUGAACCGCAUGGUUCAAAAGUGAAAGACGCUCUUGCUGUCACUUAUAGAUGGAUCCGCGCUGCAUUAUCUAGUUGGUAAGGUAACGGCUUACCAAGGCAACGAUGCAUAGCCGACCUGAGAGGGUGAUCGGCCACACUGGAACUGAGACACGGUCCAGACUCCUACGGGAGGCAGCAGUAGGGAAUCUUCCGCAAUGGGCGAAAGCCUGACGGAGCAACGCCGCGUGAGUGAUGAAGGUCUUCGGAUCGUAAAACUCUGUUAUUAGGGAAGAACAUAUGUGUAAGUAACUGUGCACAUCUUGACGGUACCUAAUCAGAAAGCCACGGCUAACUACGUG